This 253-nucleotide ribosomal RNA is filed under the name uncultured bacterium. Its description in RNAcentral is "partial 16S ribosomal RNA". It matches the Rfam family "Bacterial small subunit ribosomal RNA", at positions 524 to 776 of the family's 1533-position model. The record is from RNAcentral.
GACAGAGGCCCCGAGCGUUAGGCGGAAUCACUGGGCUUAAAGCGCGUGUAGGCGGCCCGAUAAGUCCGCUGUGAAAGUCCAGGGCUCAACCCUGGGAUGCCGGUGGAUACUGUCGGGCUCGAGUCCGGAAGAGGCGAGUGGAAUUCCUGGUGUAGCGGUGAAAUGCGCAGAUAUCAGGAGGAACACCAAUGGCGAAGGCAGCUCGCUGGGACGUGACUGACGCUGAGACGCGAAAGCGUGGGGAGCAAACAGG